GGUUCGCGUAACAGCGAUUAAUAGGGAAUGUGGUGAAAAUCCACAACUGUCCCGCAGCUGUAAGUUCCUUUUUCAUCUAUAUGCAACAAUCCACUGCCACUGUUACCCUCGUUUGGAAACACCAAACGAGAGGAAGGCGGGAAGGAGCAUAUGGACGGAACGAAGUCAGAAGACCUGCCUCACGUAAAU
This 189-nucleotide non-coding RNA is filed under the name uncultured Prevotella sp. The record is from RNAcentral. Lineage: Bacteria; Pseudomonadati; Bacteroidota; Bacteroidia; Bacteroidales; Prevotellaceae.